GCGGGCGUAGCUCAGUGGCAAGGUGCACGCCUAGCACGUGCGAGGUCCUGGGUUCAAUCCCCAGCACCUCCU
RNAcentral lists this transfer RNA (72 nucleotides) under Camelus bactrianus (Bactrian camel). It matches the Rfam family "tRNA". From Rfam's summary of the family: Transfer RNA (tRNA) molecules are approximately 80 nucleotides in length. Lineage: Eukaryota; Metazoa; Chordata; Mammalia; Artiodactyla; Camelidae. RNAcentral also lists the same sequence under 2 other names. The record is from Rfam by way of RNAcentral.